AGUUAAAACGAGACAGAUUUAUUUUUUACCGCAUUGGCCAGGAAACUAGAUAGUCCUCUCUGGAGGUGCUGGGGGGGUGCGCACAUAGGCGCCAAGAGGCUCCCUCGGGCUUUUUAGUUAUAGUUUUUAGUUAUAGAAUUAGUUGUUAAGCUAGAAAUAAGUACC
Molecule: long non-coding RNA, 165 nt
Organism: Maniola jurtina (meadow brown)
Lineage: Eukaryota; Metazoa; Arthropoda; Insecta; Lepidoptera; Nymphalidae
Exons: 3
Source: RefSeq, a predicted model, not a curated record